AACAACUAGAGCGUCUUCCUUUUAUACUCCUUUAUGCCAUCAUAGCCGUUGGCACUUACCAAAGGAAUUCCUCCAAUCUACCCGUUGGACGGAAUUAAUUAAGAAGAUCAUCCGAGCUAUUUAAGGAAUCUGAUGAUAGCCCAUCAAUCCUGUUUGCCCAUAUAAUCAGGAUCUUGGUUUCCAAGAAUAGAACAUUCCAAGAAUGUUUC
This 209-nucleotide long non-coding RNA is filed under the name Eucalyptus grandis. RNAcentral describes it as "long non-coding RNA (EGRA_LNC007885)". The record is from RNAcentral. Lineage: Eukaryota; Viridiplantae; Streptophyta; Magnoliopsida; Myrtales; Myrtaceae.